GACAGAGGGUGCAAACGUUGUUCGGAAUUACUGGGCGUAAAGCGCGUGUAGGCGGCCCCGUAAGUCGGAUGUGAAAUCCCACGGCUCAACCGUGGAAGUGCAUUCGAAACUGCAGGGCUAGAGUCCUGGAGAGGAAGGUGGAAUGCUUGGUGUAGAGGUGAAAUUCGUAGAUAUCAAGCGGAACACCGGUGGCGAAGGCGGCCUUCUGGACAGUGACUGACGCUGAGACGCGAAAGCGUGGGGAGCAAACAGG
This 253-nucleotide ribosomal RNA is filed under the name uncultured bacterium. RNAcentral's name for it is "partial 16S ribosomal RNA". It matches the Rfam family "Bacterial small subunit ribosomal RNA", at positions 524 to 776 of the family's 1533-position model. The record is from RNAcentral.